Molecule: small nuclear RNA, 107 nt
Organism: Otolemur garnettii (small-eared galago)
Lineage: Eukaryota; Metazoa; Chordata; Mammalia; Primates; Galagidae
Source: Ensembl
GUGCUCCCUUCAGCAGCACAUAUACUAAAACUGGAACGAUACAGAGAAGAUUAGCAUGGCCCUUGUGCAUGGAUGACACACAAAUUCAUGAAGCGUUCCAUAUUUUU